RNAcentral lists this ribosomal RNA (482 nucleotides) under uncultured bacterium. Its description in RNAcentral is "partial 16S ribosomal RNA". It matches the Rfam family "Bacterial small subunit ribosomal RNA", at positions 30 to 507 of the family's 1533-position model. The record is from RNAcentral.
AUUGAACGCUGGCGGCAUGCCUUACACAUGCAAGUCGAACGGUAACAGGUCUUCGGAUGCUGACGAGUGGCGAACGGGUGAGUAAUACAUCGGAACGUGCCCGAUCGUGGGGGAUAACGAAGCGAAAGCUUUGCUAAUACCGCAUACGAUCUACGGAUGAAAGCAGGGGACCGCAAGGCCUUGCGCGAACGGAGCGGCCGAUGGCAGAUUAGGUAGUUGGUGGGAUAAAAGCUUACCAAGCCGACGAUCUGUAGCUGGUCUGAGAGGACGACCAGCCACACUGGGACUGAGACGCGGCCCAGACUCCUACGGGAGGCAGCAGUGGGGAAUUUUGGACAAUGGGCGAAAGCCUGAUCCAGCCAUGCCGCGUGCAGGAUGAAGGCCUUCGGGUUGUAAACUGCUUUUGUACGGAACGAAAAGACUCUGGUUAAUACCUGGGGUCCAUGACGGUACCGUAAGAAUAAGCACCGGCUAACUACGUG